GUCUUGGGGGUCCCGCAAGGGAUCACCGGCGAACGGGUGCGUAACACGUAAGCGACCUACCGCGGAGUGGGGGAUAGCCGGCCCAACGGCCGGGUAAUACCGCAUACGCUCUUGGGGGUACCUGCCUCUGGGAGGAAGCCUUUAUUGGGCUCUGCGCGGGGCUUGCGGCCUAUCAGCUAGUUGGCGGGGUAACGGCCCACCAAGGCGACGACGGGUAGCUGGUCUGAGAGGAUGGCCAGCCACAUUGGGACUGAGAGACGGCCCAGACUCCUACGGGAGGCAGCAGUGGGGAAUCUUGCGCAAUGGGCGAAAGCCUGACGCAGCGACGCCGCGUGUGGGAGGAAGCUCUUCGGGGUGUAAACCACUGUUGCCCGGGACGAACAGCUCGUUUAGACGAGCCUGACGGUACCGGGUGAGGAAGCACCGGCUAACCCUGUGCCAGCAGCCGCGGUAAUACAGAGGGUGCGAGCGUUGUCCGGAAUCACUGGGCGUAAAGGGCGCGUAGGUGGUAACCUAAGCGUGCGGUGAAAGCCCGAGGCUCAACCUCGGGUCGGCCGUGCGAACUGGGUCACUCGAGCAGAAUAGAGGCAGGUGGAAUUCCGGGUGUAGCGGUGGAAUGCGUAGAGAUCCGGAAGAACACCGGUGGCGAAGGCGGCCUGCUGGGUUCUGGCUGACACUGAGGCGCGACAGCGUGGGGAGCAAACAGGAUUAGAUACCCUGGUAGUCCACGCCGUAAACGAUGGGCACUAGGUGCUUGGGGGAGCGACCCCCUGGGUGCCGGCGCUAACGCAUGAAGUGCCCCGCCUGGGGAGUACGGCCGCAAGGCUGAAACUCAAAGGAAUUGACGGGGGCCCGCACAAGCGGUGGAGCAUGUGGUUUAAUUCGACGCAACGCGAAGAACCUUACCUAGGCUUGACAUGCACGGGAAACUUCUUGAGAAACCAGGGGCCUCCUUCGGGACUCGUGCACAGGUGCUGCAUGCUGUCGUCAGCUCGUGUCGUGAGAUGUUGGGUUAGUCCCGCACGAGCGCACCCUGUCCUCUAGUGCAGC
Molecule: ribosomal RNA, 1050 nt
Filed under: uncultured Gemmatimonadota bacterium
Lineage: Bacteria; Pseudomonadati; Gemmatimonadota
Description: bacterial SSU rRNA
Rfam family: Bacterial small subunit ribosomal RNA
Source: RNAcentral